UAAGCAAACACUUCCAGAACACACACUUUGGAGUUAACGUCUCUCUCCACCUCAUCUGGCAGUGGAGCCUUGGAGCCUGUGUCUCAAGGUCAGCCUUUUCCUUCCCAACACAUGCAACAUGAGGACUUCCUCACCCCACCCGCCUCUCCAGCACUGGAAUCCUUCUGCCCAGCUCUGAAAGUUGGCUGUAGCCAAAGCUGCAACUCAGGGAGUGGCUGGAGAGAAAGAAUCUUGUGUCCACUUCUACAAAAGACAGGUGGAGCUGAGCUUCACCGUCAGCAGAAACUGAGGCUAGACAACCAGCACAAGGGCCUAGAAAAAGCACAGUUGGAGGACGACCCUGGGGAGACCGGCUGGAGUCCCCAGAUGUGGUCCCGGUGUGCUCCGCCCAGCUCCAGGGCAAAGGAACAGCCGGUGCGUGGGAGGCAGGGGCAGGGCUGAUGUCUGUAGGAUCCUAGCACCCUCUAUACUCAUUGUGAAAAUGUCCAGCGGUUUUGCCAAGGGGGUGAGGGUAAUACAGGAUGGGCCUGGCACUCUCCCUGAGUCAGCCUAAUACAUUCACAGACUCACCACCAAAACCCCCAACCUCAACCCCCUCAUUACCCUGCCCUGUUUCCCAUCCCACAAGUCACCAUUCUCUGGCACCCCUGCCAACCCCUGCCCUUUUCUCACAAGCCCCACAGUUCUGGGAGUGAAGCACCAAGAGUUUUCUAAUCUGCCUCUCUUUUGCUUGCUCACUGUGGCUGGAGCCAGAGGCGGUGGGGCGGACCUGGCCAGGCUGCCCUAUGAUGCUCUUAUCUUCCCACUUCUAUUGAUCAGCUCCUCUGGAGCGAAGCGUCUUCCCAAACGCUCCUCCCCAACCAGACUCCCUUCAGCUGGCGCCGCACAAGCUAGAAGUACCUAGUGACAGGGCCUCCCCUCCUGGGGUCCCUCCCAUGGCUUAUGCCACGGCAGACAGUGGUCACGCUCAGGCUCUGGAGUCAGAUAGCCUGGAUUUGCACCCUAGCUCUGCCAUUCAUGACCUCUAUUGCCUAACUGCUCCAUACCUCAGAUUCUUCCUCUGAAAAUCACGGAUGACACUAACAAUGCUACAGGAUAUUUCUAGGCAUUAAAAUUAAAAUAUAUAAAGUGCUUGGUCCAUGGUGACUACUCAGGGCAUGUUGGGGGGGAAAGUUAUCACACACAGAUAAGCACAGACACAUACAUACACAGCAUCCAACGUUUUUAUUCAGGAUUUUUAUUUUGUCACUUAAUAUUCUGCUUUAUGCUGCCACUUAACCAUUUCACUCACUAAUACUUUGACGGUUGCACAUCUCCCAGGAUUUCAGAUGCUACUCACCACAAAUUAAUGAAUUGAUCAAUUAGUCAUCCUGUUUCUCAGAAAAUUCUCCACUCUC
Molecule: long non-coding RNA, 1397 nt
Organism: Manis pentadactyla (Chinese pangolin)
Lineage: Eukaryota; Metazoa; Chordata; Mammalia; Pholidota; Manidae
Exons: 2
Source: RefSeq, a predicted model, not a curated record